RNAcentral lists this small RNA (369 nucleotides) under Pan troglodytes (chimpanzee). RNAcentral describes it as "processed transcript". The record is from RNAcentral. Lineage: Eukaryota; Metazoa; Chordata; Mammalia; Primates; Hominidae.
AGUUCCAUGCACUCAGCCAGGUCUCCAGGCUGGAGCAAGGGCUGGGGGUCAACGGGUCCUUCCUUCUCUCGGGAAACGUUCUUCUGGCGCGCAGCUGGGCGGAGGGAGAGUCGGACAUUUUCCUCUGCCUCUCUCCGGGCAGCUGGCGUGGCCACCUCGCAAGGCUGCUUCUAGGGACACGAGACUCGGGAGGGUCAGAGACUUUCAGGCCGGGCCUUCACUCCCUUCCCCGGGGCACUUGGGCAAGAGUUCCAGCUCUUGGCUACCUCUGGCCCUCACGUUCUGAAUGAUGACUGACGCGGGUUUGGGUGAUACCCCUCACAGCCCCUGUCAUUCCGGAGUGAUAAGGCACCCGCGCGUCUAGCCCCA